RNAcentral lists this ribosomal RNA (435 nucleotides) under uncultured bacterium. Its description in RNAcentral is "partial 16S ribosomal RNA". It matches the Rfam family "Bacterial small subunit ribosomal RNA", at positions 28 to 507 of the family's 1533-position model. The record is from RNAcentral.
GAUGAACGCUGGCGGUAUGCUUAACACAUGCAAGUCGAACGGACUCUUCGGAGUUAGUGGCGGACGGGUGAGUAACGCGUGAGAAUCUGGCUUUGGGUUCGGGACAACCACUGGAAACGGUGGCUAAUACCGGAUGUGCCGGGAGGUAAAAGAGAAAUUGCCUGAAGAUGAGCUCGCGUCUGAUUAGCUAGUUGGUGAGGUAAAGGCUCACCAAGGCAGCGAUCAGUAGCUGGUCUGAGAGGAUGACCAGCCACACUGGGACUGAGACACGGCCCAGACUCCUACGGGAGGCAGCAGUGGGGAAUUUUCCGCAAUGGGCGAAAGCCUGACGGAGCAGUACCGCGUGAGGGAAGAAGGCUCUUGGGUUGUAAACCUCUUUUCUUAGGGAAGAACAAAAUGACGGUACCUAAGGAAUCAGCAUCGGCUAACUCCGUG